RNAcentral lists this ribosomal RNA (537 nucleotides) under Triticum aestivum (bread wheat). Its description in RNAcentral is "partial small subunit ribosomal RNA". Lineage: Eukaryota; Viridiplantae; Streptophyta; Magnoliopsida; Poales; Poaceae. The record is from RNAcentral.
AUGCAAAGCAAAAUGCGAUCUGCUUCAACACCCCUGCUCUACCUCUACCUUUGCCUCCUCGUCUUGCCGUCAUGGCUCCUUCUCUUGCAACGAGCGCACGCAGCAGCGCGUCAUGGUGGCAUAUCACUCAUGUCUCAACAGAAGGCCCUCCUCCACUGGAAAUCAACACUUGCAAACCCAGCAGCGGAGAUGAGCUCCUGGCGGGACACCGCCAGCAGCAGCCCGUGCAACUGGACGGGGAUCAUGUGCAUGGCCGUUCGCCAUGGCCGCAUCAUGCCCUGGGUCGUGACCAGCAUCUCCCUGCCAGAUGCUGGCAUCCAUGGCAAGCUUGGUGAGCUCAACUUCACAGCUCUCCCAUUCCUCACAUAUAUCGAUCUAGGCACAAUAGUCUCCAUGGUCCAAUACCGCCUAAUAUCAGCUCGCUAUCAUCCCUCUCCACCCUUGACCUUAGCAUCAAUCAGCUCAGAGGCCACAUACCACACGAGAUCGGCCAACUGGCUAGCCUCACCAUACUUGACAUCUCCUUCAAUAACCUAA